Molecule: ribosomal RNA, 264 nt
Filed under: uncultured bacterium
Lineage: Bacteria
Description: partial 16S ribosomal RNA
Rfam family: Bacterial small subunit ribosomal RNA
Source: RNAcentral
UACGAAGGUGCAAGCGUUAAUCGGAAUUACUGGGCGUAAAGCGCGCGUAGGUGGUUCAGCAAGUUGGAUGUGAAAGCCCUGGGCGUCAACCUGGGAACGUAGCAUCCAAAACCUAACUGAGCUAGAGUACGGUAGAGGGUAGUGGAAUUUCCUGUGUAGCGGUGAAAUGCGUAGAUAUAGGAAGGAACACCAGUGGCGAAGGCGACUACCUGGACUGAUACUGACACUGAGGUGCGAAAGCGUGGGGGAGCAAACCAGGAUUAG